AAAGCUCACUCUGAGUACCUCCAGAACUAGCUUUCUCCCUGACAAACUAAAGGAAGUUUUGGCCCCAUGACGUCCUUGUGAGGUUGACAAUGCCCCUGGUCAACCAGAGAACCAACAGGUGAGAUGACAAUGAAAAUAAGGCCCAGUGUACAGCAAAAGGGAUGUAGCAAGACAGAAGUGACUGUGACUCAGAUGUUAUCAAAGACAAGAUGAAGCCUGCCUGAGAACCCUCCUCUUAAACAGCAGGAGCCCAGACCCUGAGCAGGGAGAGAGUCAGGUCCCAGAUGGAGACACUGAUUAACUUCAUAGCAUCACCAUGGAGCCAGAUCUGGAAAUUCUUUAGGGGGUUGCUGAACAACCCUGUCAUCCCUACCUGACCUCAGCUGCCGAGGUCCCUGUGAACACAGUCUGCAAGUUCAUCAUCCCGGCGGGGAGGCUUUGUUUUGCAGUCCAAGCCACCUAGAGAAGAAAGUGUAAGGUGGAAGUAUGGAGAAAGAUGGCUCACAGAUACAGGAAAGCUGCAGAGGGAGCCGAGUCAGUUCCAGUGUUCAUACAGGGGCAAAUUAUGGCAACUACAGC
Molecule: long non-coding RNA, 579 nt
Filed under: Mus caroli (Ryukyu mouse)
Lineage: Eukaryota; Metazoa; Chordata; Mammalia; Rodentia; Muridae
Description: RIKEN cDNA 2310015D24 gene (MGP_CAROLIEiJ_G0005129.1)
Source: RNAcentral